RNAcentral lists this transfer RNA (54 nucleotides) under Ovis aries (sheep). The record is from Rfam by way of RNAcentral. Lineage: Eukaryota; Metazoa; Chordata; Mammalia; Artiodactyla; Bovidae.
UCUCAGUGGUAAAGAAUCUGCUUGCAAUGCAGGAGACCCGGGUUCAACCCCUGG